This 253-nucleotide ribosomal RNA is filed under the name uncultured bacterium. RNAcentral describes it as "partial 16S ribosomal RNA". It matches the Rfam family "Bacterial small subunit ribosomal RNA", at positions 524 to 776 of the family's 1533-position model. The record is from RNAcentral.
UACGUAGGGGGCAAGCGUUGUCCGGUUUUAUUGGGCGUAAAGCGCGUGUAGGCGGCCAGAUAGGUCUGCUGUGAAAACUCGAGGCUCAACCUCGAGCUGUCGGCGGAAACCAUCUGGCUAGAGUCCGGAAGAGGAGAGUGGAAUUCCUGGUGUAGCGGUGAAAUGCGCAGAUAUCAGGAAGAACACCUAUGGCGAAGGCAGCUCUCUGGGACGGUACUGACGCUGAGACGCGAAAGCGUGGGGAGCGAACAGG